CCAUAGUCUCACAUUCCCCUUUCAGGCUGGGCUAAGAAGGGCUGGGAGACUUGUUAGAGCAAAUAUAGAGCUGGAGUAAGAUGGGGCUGAGGCUCUCCAAGCCUAGUGAAGGGCGGGCAAGAGACAAAGAGGAGGAGCAGGUUUGCUUAUCUGCUGGGAAACGGGCAGGUGUGGCUCAGGCAAAAAACUGGGAACUUAGGAGCAUCAACUAUGGAAGUUGGGUUUUAAUAAAGGAGUGAAGGGAGUUCUCAUCGUGGCUCAGUAGUUAACGAACCCGACUAGUAUCCAUGAGGACUUGGGUUUGAUCCCUGGCCUUGCUCAGUGGGUUAAGGAUCUGGCGUUGUCAUGAGCUGUGGUGUGGGUUGCAGAUGCAGCUGGGACCCUGUGUUGCUGUGGCUAUGGUAUAAGCUGGCAGCUGUAGCUCUGAUUUGAUCCCUAGCCUAGGAACCUCCAUAUGCUGUGGGUUAGAUCCUAAAAAGGCAAAAAAUAAAAAAUAAAAUAAAGGGGUGGGGGGGAGUUUUCUUGUGACUGAAUGGGUUAAGGAUCUGGCAUUGUCACUGCUGUGGCACAGGUUCCAUUCCCGGCCAGGGAACUGCCACAUGCCGCGGGUGCAGCCAAAAAAAAAAAAGGGGGAAAGACCGUAAAGGGGUGGGGAAAGGAGGAAUUGGAGGCAUGGCUUUGGUGUCUCUGAUCAUGUCCAAAAGUUGAGCUUGUGGUGUUUUGUUCAUCUCAAACAAAACAAAUAAAACAACCUGUGACUUUAGUAUGCUACCACAAGGUGGCGUCAUUUGGCCACUCAGAUAUUAACCUCUAUUAAAAUAAAAAUUUCACUCAUUUUUCAAAAAAGACAAAAGUAUAAAAAAUUAGAUGUACAUAUUACAUCAAGGUUUUUUUUUUUCAAAAAAAAUCUCUUCUAUUUUAGAAGAGAAAUAUCUGGUAUAGAAGUUGGUUUGCUCUUCCCUGGCCCUUAAUUUUAUCCAUCUACCUUCCCUAAACCUUGGACUCUCUAGUGGUCUACCUUCCCUUUCUGUCUGGCGCUGGUCAACAACUGGAACCCACUCCAAACGUUGUCAUGCCAACUCAACAUACUGGAAAGAGCAGGGGACAUGGAAUUGUCCCAACCCUCACCUCAGCCUGAUUUUGGAGAUAGCUUCUCACCACCCCAGGUCACCCCAGCAUCUCCCUGGUUGCUCUGUUGAAACUGGACCCUGUGAAACUGGACCCUGUGGGGCAAGAGCUGAAGCAGGAAGGUCAGUGAGUGUAAGCGAGUGAGUGGGACCCUGCGAGGGCUUCCCAGGGUGGCCCCCAGUCCUAUCUUCCACCUGCCUUUUGAUCUAUAGAAAAACUUUAGUCAAAGAACCAAUUUAAUCAGAGAAGUGAGAAAGUACAGAGAAAAAAGAAAACAGUAAUAAAAAUUCAGCCAUUGAACA
RNAcentral lists this long non-coding RNA (1430 nucleotides) under Sus scrofa (pig). RNAcentral's name for it is "lncRNA (ENSSSCG00050052635.1)". The record is from RNAcentral. Lineage: Eukaryota; Metazoa; Chordata; Mammalia; Artiodactyla; Suidae.